This 491-nucleotide ribosomal RNA is filed under the name uncultured bacterium. RNAcentral's name for it is "partial 16S ribosomal RNA". It matches the Rfam family "Bacterial small subunit ribosomal RNA", at positions 29 to 506 of the family's 1533-position model. The record is from RNAcentral.
AGUGAACGCUGGCGGUAGGCCUAACACAUGCAAGUCGAACGGCAGCACAGUAAGAGCUUGCUCUUACGGGUGGCGAGUGGCGGACGGGUGAGGAAUACAUCGGAAUCUACUUUUUCGUGGGGGAUAACGUAGGGAAACUUACGCUAAUACCGCAUACGACCUACGGGUGAAAGCAGGGGAUCUUCGGACCUUGCGCGAUUGAAUGAGCCGAUGUCGGAUUAGCUAGUUGGCGGGGUAAAGGCCCACCAAGGCGACGAUCCGUAGCUGGUCUGAGAGGAUGAUCAGCCACACUGGAACUGAGACACGACCCAGACUCCUACGGGAGGCAGCAGUGGGGAAGAUUGGACAAUGGGCGCAAGCCUGAUCCAGCCAUACCGCGUGGGUGAAGAAGGCCUUCGGGUUGUAAAGCCCUUUUGUUGGGAAAGAAAAGCAGCAGGUUAAUACCCCGCUGUUCUGACGGUACCCAAAGAAUAAGCACCGGCUAACUUCGU